This 493-nucleotide ribosomal RNA is filed under the name uncultured Bacteroidota bacterium. Its description in RNAcentral is "bacterial SSU rRNA". It matches the Rfam family "Bacterial small subunit ribosomal RNA", at positions 413 to 907 of the family's 1533-position model. The record is from RNAcentral. Lineage: Bacteria; Pseudomonadati; Bacteroidota.
GCCCUAUGGGUUGUAAACGGCUUUUGAUUGGGAAGAACAGGUGGGAUUUGUCCUGCUUUGACGGUACCAUUUGAAUAAGCACCGGCUAACUCCGUGCCAGCAGCCGCGGUAAUACGGAGGGUGCAAGCGUUGUCCGGAAUCAUUGGGUGUAAAGGGUGCGUAGGCUGGCGCCUAAGUCUGGGGUGAAAUCUUGCCGCUUAACGGUAAAAUUGCCCUGGAUACUGGGUGUCUUGAAUCUGACAGAGGUCGGUGGAAUUCGUGGUGUAGCGGUGAAAUGCAUAGAUAUCACGAAGAACACCAGUGGCGAAGGCGGCCGGCUGGGUCAGUAUUGACGCUGAGGCACGAGAGCGUGGGGAGCGAACAGGAUUAGAUACCCUGGUAGUCCACGCUGUAAACGAUGUAUGCUAGUUGUUGGGCCUUCGGGUUCAGUGACGCACUUAACGCACUAAGCAUACCACCUGGGGAGUACGUUCGCAAGAAUGAAACUCACAGG